This is a long non-coding RNA of Fundulus heteroclitus (mummichog), 948 nucleotides long. RefSeq lists it as uncharacterized. Lineage: Eukaryota; Metazoa; Chordata; Actinopteri; Cyprinodontiformes; Fundulidae. The record is from RefSeq and is a predicted model, not a curated record. The transcript has 4 exons.
UAAGGCCACGAGCUAAGGGUCAGGGCCCACCCUUUCAUCUAACUGGGUCCUGCUUGUAACAUAAUUACAAGCAGGACCCAGUUCUUUCGAGCGUCAGCUCUGAAAAUUGAGGACCAGCUAUUAGAUAGAGAGAAGGCACUGCUGGAGGCCCCCUCCGCACCAACACCGCUGAGUGGCAGUCUUGGAACAACCACCCUCAUGACUGUGGAGGGUGAGGUGGUUGAGUUAUCUGCAAUCAAGAGUGUGGGAUCAAUGAGGCAGAAGAUACCACUGAAAAUUGUGAGAAUCAAACAGGACCAGCAUAUCAUCCCACUGAGCCUUUGGCGGGAAGCGGCAGUGGUGGCUAUGGCUGUGGGGGACACACUUUCCAUAAGCCAUGUAAAGGCUUCAACAACCACCUAUGGAGCCCAACUCCAAAGCACAGCAUUGACAAAGAUCCAGACCAAAUAAGAAAUGCAAAGCUAGACCUUGAUUAUUGGAGUCAUGCAGGGGAUAAAAAGAGGAGUUUCCGUGUGCUUUUUGAAGACGGGGAAACAGCUACAAUUUCAAAUGAAAUGUGGGCUCCCUUUGAGGAACUGCUGAAAUGUGAAAAAAAUUUAUCUAAAGAUUAGGCUAGAGGGGAACAAAAUAACCGAAAUCACACAAAUCAUAUAUAUAUAUAUUAUAGUUUUAUUGACUUUAUUUAUUUGUUCCCACUAGAUGGUUUUGUGAUAUGUGGAAGAUUGAAGUUAUUUAUGAUGUAUUUAUUGAUUUAUUUACUGAUGACACAUUUAUUAAAUCUGUAUAUUGUUGGCAAUAGUCUUUUAUCUUAUAUAUUGAUAAUAUAUUCACUCUUUAUACCAUUUUUAUACCAUGCAGUAAGCUAAAUUAGCAAAGUAGCUGAAAGCAUUCUUUAUUACUGCAUUCACACUAAUAAAUAAAGAGAAACAGGAUCUCAAUAAUUGCAAA